UACGUAGGGUGCAAGCGUUAAUCGGAAUUACUGGGCGUAAAGCGUGCGCAGGCGGUUUUGUAAGUCUGUCGUGAAAUCCCCGGGCUCAACUUGGGAACUGCAUUUGAUACUGCCAAGCUAGAGUACAGAAGAGGUGACUGGAAUUCCCAGUGUAGCGGUGAAAUGCGUAGAUAUUGGGAGGAACACCAGAUGCGAAGGCGGGUCACUGGGCUGAUACUGACGCUAAAGCGCGAAAGCCAGGGGAGCGAACGGG
This 253-nucleotide ribosomal RNA is filed under the name uncultured prokaryote. RNAcentral describes it as "partial 16S ribosomal RNA". It matches the Rfam family "Bacterial small subunit ribosomal RNA", at positions 524 to 776 of the family's 1533-position model. The record is from RNAcentral.